AAGGAUAUAACUUAAUGGUAAAGUAUUUGUCUUCAACACAUGUAAUAGUAGUUCGAUUCUACUUAUCCUUG
This 71-nucleotide transfer RNA is filed under the name Metschnikowia sp. 04-218.3. Its description in RNAcentral is "tRNA-Trp". It matches the Rfam family "tRNA". Rfam says of the family: Transfer RNA (tRNA) molecules are approximately 80 nucleotides in length. Lineage: Eukaryota; Fungi; Ascomycota; Pichiomycetes; Serinales; Metschnikowiaceae. The record is from RNAcentral.